RNAcentral lists this ribosomal RNA (787 nucleotides) under Opostegoides sp. AUSVictoriaEvN4325. Its description in RNAcentral is "eukaryotic LSU rRNA". The stretch from base 466 to 787 matches the Rfam family "Eukaryotic large subunit ribosomal RNA", at positions 665 to 944 of the family's 3401-position model. Lineage: Eukaryota; Metazoa; Arthropoda; Insecta; Lepidoptera; Opostegidae. The record is from RNAcentral.
CGUUCAGGGGUAAACCUGCGAAACUCGAAUGAACGAACGGGGAGAUUCAUCGCCACUCGGCGGCGCCGGCGCGUCGUCUCGAUGCGGUCGGACGGCGUUCUGCGUCGCUCCGGUCGCACGAGCGAUUCGCCGCGCGUCCGCCGACGGCGUGCACUUCUCCCUCAGUAAUGCAUCGCGACCCGCUCGACGUCGGCCUAAGCGCCGCCCGGGAGCCCCGCGGACCUUCGGGCUCCGCGGGACCGGGUGGACAUCGCCGGUCGGCCGUCGGGCGGUCGGAGACACGAAUCGCGCACGCGCCCAGCGCGUCCGGCCCGACGCGAGGCGUCGGCGUAUCCGCGGUCCCGCCCGAGUGCGAACCGUUGUGCGUCGCGCCUGUCCGUCGCAGCCGUGCAGUCUCGGACUGUGCGCGUAUCCGUCUGCGAUGAUUUUGUUUCGGGCACUCGCAGGACCCGUCUUGAAACACGGACCAAGGAGUCUAGCAUGUGUGCGAGUCAUUGAGAUUCAACUAAACUGAAAGGCACAACGAAAGUGAAGGCGUGCGCCCUGUGCGCGCGCUCGGGGAGGAUGGCGGCGGGUCACGCGCUCGCCGCCCGCACUCCCGAGGCGUCUCGUUUGCAAUCCGUCAAUGCAGGCGCGCUCAGAGCACAGAUGCUGGGACCCGAAAGAUGGUGAACUAUGCCUGGUCAGGUCGAAGUCAGGGGAAACCCUGAUGGAGGACCGUAGCGAUUCUGACGUGCAAAUCGAUCGUCGGAACUGGGUAUAGGGGCGAAAGACUAAUCGAACCAUC